UGGCUGAAUGGUUAAAGCGCCCAACUCAUAAUUGGCG
Molecule: transfer RNA, 37 nt
Filed under: Trillium tschonoskii
Lineage: Eukaryota; Viridiplantae; Streptophyta; Magnoliopsida; Liliales; Melanthiaceae
Description: tRNA-Ile
Source: RNAcentral